ACUACUUUGUCAGAUAAUAUGUACUAGAUUUAGGAUCUAGUUAAAUAGAAUAAGGUUCUAUAGGUAGUAAAAUAAUUACAUCUAAUUGUUUU
RNAcentral lists this transfer RNA (92 nucleotides) under Achelous ordwayi (redhair swimming crab). Its description in RNAcentral is "transfer RNA-Val". The record is from RNAcentral. Lineage: Eukaryota; Metazoa; Arthropoda; Malacostraca; Decapoda; Portunidae.